This 583-nucleotide ribosomal RNA is filed under the name Klebsiella variicola. RNAcentral describes it as "partial 23S ribosomal RNA". It matches the Rfam family "Bacterial large subunit ribosomal RNA", at positions 2240 to 2822 of the family's 2925-position model. RNAcentral also lists the same sequence under 4 other names. The record is from RNAcentral. Lineage: Bacteria; Pseudomonadati; Pseudomonadota; Gammaproteobacteria; Enterobacterales; Enterobacteriaceae.
CGGGGUUGCGGACAGUGUCUGGUGGGUAGUUUGACUGGGGCGGUCUCCUCCCAAAGAGUAACGGAGGAGCACGAAGGUUAGCUAAUCCUGGUCGGACAUCAGGAGGUUAGUGCAAUGGCAUAAGCUAGCUUGACUGCGAGCGUGACGGCGCGAGCAGGUGCGAAAGCAGGUCAUAGUGAUCCGGUGGUUCUGAAUGGAAGGGCCAUCGCUCAACGGAUAAAAGGUACUCCGGGGAUAACAGGCUGAUACCGCCCAAGAGUUCAUAUCGACGGCGGUGUUUGGCACCUCGAUGUCGGCUCAUCACAUCCUGGGGCUGAAGUAGGUCCCAAGGGUAUGGCUGUUCGCCAUUUAAAGUGGUACGCGAGCUGGGUUUAGAACGUCGUGAGACAGUUCGGUCCCUAUCUGCCGUGGGCGCUGGAGAAUUGAGGGGGGCUGCUCCUAGUACGAGAGGACCGGAGUGGACGCAUCACUGGUGUUCGGGUUGUCAUGCCAAUGGCACUGCCCGGUAGCUAAAUGCGGAAGAGAUAAGUGCUGAAAGCAUCUAAGCACGAAACUUGCCCCGAGAUGAGUUCUCCCUGAGACU